RNAcentral lists this ribosomal RNA (372 nucleotides) under uncultured prokaryote. RNAcentral's name for it is "bacterial SSU rRNA". It matches the Rfam family "Bacterial small subunit ribosomal RNA", at positions 524 to 896 of the family's 1533-position model. The record is from RNAcentral.
UACGAAGGGGGCUAGCGUUGUUCGGAAUGACUGGGCGUAAAGGGCGCGUAGGCGGCUGAUCAAGUCAGAGGUGAAAUCCCCGGGCUCAACCCGGGAAUUGCCUUUGAGACUGGUCGGCUUGAGAGCGGGAGAGGUGAGUGGAAUUCCCAGUGUAGAGGUGAAAUUCGUAGAUAUUGGGAAGAACACCAGUGGCGAAGGCGGCUCACUGGCCCGUUUCUGACGCUGAGGCGCGAAAGCGUGGGGAGCAAACAGGAUUAGAUACCCUGGUAGUCCACGCCGUAAACGAUGUGUGCUAGACGUUGGGCAGCAUGCUGCUCAGUGUCGCCGCUAACGCAUUAAGCACACCGCCUGGGGAGUACGGCCGCAAGGUUG